This 64-nucleotide non-coding RNA is filed under the name insect gut metagenome. Its description in RNAcentral is "DnaX ribosomal frameshifting element". It matches the Rfam family "DnaX ribosomal frameshifting element". From Rfam's summary of the family: This family represents a ribosomal frameshifting element found in the mRNA of the dnaX gene in E. coli. The dnaX gene has two encoded products tau and gamma which are produced in a 1:1 ratio. The gamma protein is synthesised due to programmed frameshifting and is shorter than tau. The record is from RNAcentral.
UCAGGGAGCAUCUAAACCAAAAAAGAGUGAACCGGCAGCGCCAGGCAGAGCGCGGCCGGUGAAU